RNAcentral lists this ribosomal RNA (201 nucleotides) under Staphylococcus agnetis. Its description in RNAcentral is "partial 16S ribosomal RNA". It matches the Rfam family "Bacterial small subunit ribosomal RNA", at positions 327 to 523 of the family's 1533-position model. Lineage: Bacteria; Bacillati; Bacillota; Bacilli; Caryophanales; Staphylococcaceae. The record is from RNAcentral.
CGGUCCAGACUCCUACGGGAGGCAGCAGUAGGGAAUCUUCCGCAAUGGGCGAAAUCCUGUCUAUCAACGCCGCGUGAGUGAUGAAGGUCUUCGGCUCUUUUUCCUCUUUGUUAGGAAGAACAUAUGUGUAAGUAACUGUGCACAUCUUGACGGUACCUAAUCAGAAAGCCACGGCUAACUACGUGCCAGCAGCCGCGGUAA